Molecule: ribosomal RNA, 1276 nt
Filed under: Dynastes hercules hercules
Lineage: Eukaryota; Metazoa; Arthropoda; Insecta; Coleoptera; Scarabaeidae
Description: 16S ribosomal RNA
Rfam family: Bacterial large subunit ribosomal RNA (bases 845-1209)
Source: RNAcentral
GAUGAGAGGCUUAUUUCUUGGUGUUAAAAGAAGAAUCUUUAGUGGUAGUAAGUUUUAGAAGUCAGAAGUUUUAUUAUAGUGAAGAGUAUAGUGAUAGAAUCUUGGGAUAGAGUUAAAUUUUAAAAAAGAAGAGUUAAUUUCUUGUACCUUGUGUAUCAGGGUUUAUCAAAAUAAGCUGAACAGCUCAGUUUUCUCGAAUUAAGAAGAGCUAUGGCCUUAUAAAUUUAAUUGUGGCAUAAAUUUUUCACAUAAGGCUAUGGUAAUGAUAUGUUAAUCGUUUUUUAUGAUAUCUAGUUUCUUAAGAAAUAAAUUUAAUUUAGUUUUUUAAAUGUACAGUGCUUAUUUGUUAACUUUGUAUUUUAAGAAUUUAAUGUUUCUAGGGAUGAGCUUAGAAACAGAGGUCUAAAAUUGUUUUCUUGUUAUCAAAGGUUGGUAGGAUUGGAAAUGUCUAUCUUUAGUUUGUUAUAAUUAACUUUUGAUUAGAUAAGAUUUAUAUUUUGGUUUAGAUUUUUUAUUAAGAUUAUAACUUGAAUAGUAUAUUUUAUGAAAUAAUGAUAGAAUUAGUAUAUAAUGGUGUAUUGUUAAGUGAAUUUUCAAGGUUGAAUUAAGGAACUCGGCAAAUAAAUUUUCCGCCUGUUUAUUAAAAACAUGUCUUUUUGAUCAUAAUUUAAAGUCUGACCUGCCCAAUGAGGUUUUGAAUGGCCGCGGUAAUUUGACCGUGCAAAGGUAGCAUAAUCAUUAGUUUUUUAAUUGAAAGCUGGUAUGAACGGUUGGACGAGAAAAUGACUGUCUCAAUUUAAUUGUAAGUAGAAUUUUAUUUAUAAGUAAAAAAGCUUAUAUGAGUUUAAAAGACGAGAAGACCCUAUAGAAUUUUAUAGCAAUAUAUUUGUGCUGUGAUUAGAAUUGUAAGUUGCUAAAAUGUAAAGUUAUUUUGUUGGGGCGAUAGAAAAAUUAAUGGAACUUUUUUUUUAUAAGGUCAUUGAUUUAUGUGUAGUUGAUCCGUUUUUUACGAUUAUAAGAUAAAAUUACCUUAGGGAUAACAGCGUAAUUUUUUUUUAGAGUUCUUAUCGAAAAAAGAGUUUGCGACCUCGAUGUUGGAUUAAAAUUAACUUUUGGUGCAGGGGCUAAAAGGUUAGGUCUGUUCGACCUUUAAAAUUUUACAUGAUCUGAGUUUAAACCGGCGUGAGCCAGGUUGGUUUCUAUCUUUAAAAUAGUUAGAUGCUUUAGUACGAAAGGAGUUAGCAUUUGUAAUGUUUACUAUAGUUUGAAUGUGAUU